Molecule: ribosomal RNA, 254 nt
Filed under: uncultured bacterium
Lineage: Bacteria
Description: partial 16S ribosomal RNA
Rfam family: Bacterial small subunit ribosomal RNA
Source: RNAcentral
UACGUAGGGGGCAAGCGUUGUCCGGAAUUAUUGGGCGUAAAGAGCUCGUAGGCGGUGUGUCGCGUCGGCCGUGAAAACCUGCAGCUUAACUGUGGGCUUGCGGUCGAUACGGGCAUCACUGGAGUUCGGCAGGGGAGACUGGAAUUCCUGGUGUAGCGGUGAAAUGCGCAGAUAUCGGGAGGAACACCGGUGGCGAAGGCGGGUCUCUGGGCCGAUACUGACGCUGAGGAGCGAAAGCGUGGGGAGCGAACAGG